GACGAACGCUGGCGGCGUGCUUAACACAUGCAAGUCGAACGGAAAGGCCCUGCUUUUGUGGGGUGCUCGAGUGGCGAACGGGUGAGUAACACGUGAGUAACCUGCCCUUGACUUUGGGAUAACUUCAGGAAACUGGGGCUAAUACCGGAUAGGAGCUCCUGCUGCAUGGUGGGGGUUGGAAAGUUUCGGCGGUUGGGGAUGGACUCGCGGCUUAUCAGCUUGUUGGUGGGGUAGUGGCUUACCAAGGCUUUGACGGGUAGCCGGCCUGAGAGGGUGACCGGGCAGAUUGGGACUGAGAUGCGGCCCAGACGCCUACGGGGGGCAGCAGUGGGGAAUAUUGCACAAUGGGCGGAAGCCUGAUGCAGCAACGCCGCGUGCGGGAUGACGGCCUUCGGGUUGUAAACCGCUUUCGCCUGUGACGAAGCGUGAGUGACGGUAAUGGGUAAAGAAGCACCGGCUAACUACGUG
RNAcentral lists this ribosomal RNA (468 nucleotides) under uncultured bacterium. RNAcentral's name for it is "partial 16S ribosomal RNA". It matches the Rfam family "Bacterial small subunit ribosomal RNA", at positions 28 to 507 of the family's 1533-position model. The record is from RNAcentral.